Molecule: non-coding RNA, 171 nt
Filed under: Flavobacterium sinopsychrotolerans
Lineage: Bacteria; Pseudomonadati; Bacteroidota; Flavobacteriia; Flavobacteriales; Flavobacteriaceae
Source: RNAcentral
UUUGGGGCGACCCAUGCAGUGAAGGAAACCAAACGGCAAAAGUCUGUACCGAGGAACACAAAGCGCAUAAGAGGCUAGCUAAAUUGGGUAAGCAUGCACAGCAAUGCAAAGCCUUUAGACAACAGGUUUAGUUAGUAGAUGCGUCGGGGAUAGACGGAAAGAGGAAGUGCU